UGCUUGCCAUAUCAGUUUUUAUUUAAUAAGUUUGUCAUAAUUUCAAGCUCUUCAUGUUUUCUAGUUUGAAUUGUUUUAUAUUUAGUAUUUUUUUGCCAUUUAAUACAGAUAUAAGAAGAAGUGAUAUGAAUGCCAAUGAGACAACUCUCUAUCCAAGUCACAAUUUGUAAAACGUAAACUAUCAUAGGCCAAAAGUACGACCUUUAACACUUAGACAUGAAACACUGAAUAGCAAGCUGUAAAGAGCACCAAAAUGACUAGUGUAAAACCAUUUAAACAGGAAGAUCAACAGUUCAAUCUACACAAAAACGAAAAACGAGAAACACUUAUGAACCACAAACAAUAACGACCGAACUACAGGUUCCGUACUCAGGACAGAC
RNAcentral lists this long non-coding RNA (380 nucleotides) under Mytilus galloprovincialis (Mediterranean mussel). The record is from RNAcentral. Lineage: Eukaryota; Metazoa; Mollusca; Bivalvia; Mytilida; Mytilidae.